GGAUGACUUCAGUGGCUCCCUUAACUAGUUCUGUCACUGUAAAACCCUACAGUCAUUCUUGCACACAUAAAGGACAAAUAAGCUGGAGAGGACGACUCAGACGCUUUCAUUUUUAACUAUUCACCAAUGGAGGAGAAGGCAGAAUGCCUAAGCUAGGUCUCGGUGGCCAAUAGGGUAGCUGUGUGUCUCCCACAUGACUCGCUGCCCCUGUCUUUCACAUGGGCUGUAAUUUAGUUCAAUUCAGAACUGCAGAUAGUACAGGCUUCAGAGCAGCCAGAGAUGCCUGUGCACAAGUGCCUGAGCUCCGAGGGACUUUGGGAAACACUUGGCUAUCCCCCUCCUGCCUGGACCCCGGGACUCUGCACCUGCAGGACAGACAGCCCGGCCGCCGCCUCUGCCGUGCCUCCGGGGACGAGGAACCAGCACAGAUAACCGUUUGGAAAUGGGAUCAUGGCAAAAUUACCAACAAGUCCGUAAAGGAAACUGAAGGCGGUUUGAUCUACACCUUCAAUGCCAGUCCCACAAAGGCUGAAGAAAUAUGUUACGUCUCCAAAGACAUAUACCUCUAAAGAACACAGUCAUGCCCUAAAAUUAGGACAUGAUUCAGGGACUCCAAAUUCAGUGAAACAGCAUAAAGAUCUGAGUUGUCUCUAUUACUGUCAUAAUUUACAAGCGUGUGUGCUAACUUGCUUCAGUCCUGUCCGACUCUGUGUGACCCUAUGGAUGACAGUCUGCCAGACCCCACUGUCCAUGGAAUUUUUCAAGCAAGAAUACUGGAGUGUAGAAAUGGAAUGCUAUUUUCCUCCUCCAGGGCAUCUUCCCAACCCAGGGAUCGAACCCACAUCUCUUACAUCUAACCUGCAUUGGCAGGCAGGUUCUUUACCUCUAGUGACACCCAGGAAGCCCGGUAAUUUAUAUAACAGAGAGCAGGAAAUGUAACAGAAUGCGGAUCUAAGGAAAAGAGUGGGAGGAAUCCGCACACACAGGGUUGUGCAUGGUUACCUUUCCUGCGCACCGUUCUGCGUACCAUUCUGUAGCAAUGGGGUUUAGUAUUUCCUUUCUUAACGCAACGAAGAAGUUCAUGGCUAACAUCAGAGUUUGCAGGUGGGUGGGAACUAUGCUUUUCUUAAAGAUAUCCAGGAUCAAACAUUGCAGAGUUAAUUAGGUUUUACCUCGAAUUGCCUUUCCUACGAUCCUCGGAAACGGUGGGGUGCAGCUGUGAGUCACCUGCUUGCUUUCUAGAGAUAGUGUCCAAGGAUGUAGCUCCAUGAAAAUUCUAAUCAGAUUACACAGAAAUACAGUGCUCCCAGUCUGUGCUUUAUACUCGCAGAUAAAUUAUAUAUGCAUAGUAACAUCUGUCCACUGUUAAAUUUCAUGUCGCACAAUUCUACUGAAUUUUGAAUGGCAUCUUUAGCCACAGAAGCCUAGAAACAUCCUUUGGCUAACAAAAGAAAAAGUCAUCACAUACCUUUGGAAAACAUUUUCAGAACUGUCGCAGGAAUUGCUGAAAGGACCAUUGAAAGAUGUUUGCUAAUGGAAAAUAUGUUUUGUUUAGUAACUGGGCUAUGCUUUAAUAUUUUAUCAACCUGACUGAUAGAGUUCAAUCAUAAAGAAAAUUGAGAAAAAAGAUGAAAUGUAAAAAGAAUCUUGUUAAGAGCAAUAAACUUAUAGAUAGUGAAGUAAAUGGUGGGUUU
Long non-coding RNA from Bos indicus x Bos taurus (hybrid cattle), 1694 nucleotides. The record is from Ensembl. NCBI's taxonomy places the organism in Eukaryota, Metazoa, Chordata, Mammalia, Artiodactyla, Bovidae.